Molecule: ribosomal RNA, 226 nt
Filed under: uncultured soil bacterium
Lineage: Bacteria
Description: partial 16S ribosomal RNA
Rfam family: Bacterial small subunit ribosomal RNA
Source: RNAcentral
AGAGUGAACGCUGGCGGCAGGCCUAACACAUGCAAGUCGAACGGCAGCACGAGAGAGCUUGCUCUCUUGGUGGCGAGUGGCGGACGGGUGAGGAAUACGUCGGAAUCUGCCUUUUUGUGGGGGAUAACGUAGGGAAACUUACGCUAAUACCGCAUACGACCUACGGUGAAAGACGGAGGACCUCGGUCGUUCGUCGCAGAAAGAAUAGUAGACGACGUACGGAGUA